AUGUCAAUGCGUUGGAAAUUUUUGAGCAUUGCAGAUCUGAGAGCAUCCUGGAUGUAUCUAUUAAGUGUGCACCUGACACCAUGUUCCGGGAAGAAGGUUGUUUGCUGGAUCCAUUCGGUGGCAAGAGCUAUCUCUGUGAUCAGGCGAUUAAUUGAUGUCCGGCUGAAAUGGUGGUCAAAACUACCUAAUGGUGAGCCCCCUGAUGACUGCUAUUCUAGUGUUACUCCUUUUUCUUCACUGGUGACUCCCUCUUUUUAUGUUGUUUGUUCAUUGGAAUCUACUGAGCAUCAAUUUCUGGCUAUUCCUGAACAAGUCAGUGAGUUGGCUGGCACUUUUGGUCUUGACAAAUUUUUGAGCACUAGUAAUAUGGUAUGUGAAAUCCAAAUGCAUUGGAAACUUUCUGAGCAUCGAGCACGGGAUCUUGCUGACCAAAACGAGGAAUUAUGUCAUAUUGGAGAUCUUGUGUGGAACCUCCGCGGAUACUGCAUAAAGAUACUUUCUGUAGAGCUCUGGCACUGGUGGUCUCUGAAACUGGACACUGACAAUUCAUGUUUCAGUAAGCAUCUUUUGCAUGAAGGUAAGCAUUGGUUUUCAGAACUCUAUUCAUGCUCUAUUACUUCUGCUCCUGUACUACAACAUUCUUGGCUUGCUACUAUGGCUGCACCUCUGUGUCGGAGAAUGCGGAAAAUGGGUAUCGGUCUUCACUUAAUACAGUUCGAGCAAUUACUGUUGUUUGAUGAAGCUAGCAUCAAUGAUCAAUGGCAACUUGACUAUGACAAGCAUGAUGUUGUAUGUGCUAUCCCCCGGCAUGAGAUAUCACAGGGGGCCAUACAGAUCAUGAGCAUGACAGUACAUUGGCCAUUUUUGAAUCAAACUGAACUUAAGGGCAGUGGCCAGCUUGAUAAGCAAUGCAAUUCUGACCAAAUAACUAAUGGUUCAAGAGCUAGAAUUCAGCUUACAGUACUGAAUCAUGGUCUAUUCUCACACACGACAUACAGUCAGCAGCAUGGGAUCUUCCUUCUUCAGUUUGUGCCGGUGCUUUGUAAGAUGAUGUCAGCGUCUGAAACGAGGUCACUUAUAUCAUUAUGGUCUCAUCAUAUAUUAUUGGAUUAUAUGUUUGAGCAGAGCAUUUGUCAUGACUGGGAGUCACUGUUCUAUUCAAAUCAGCGAACACCCCUUGCCGAUUUUGGAAUGGUGGAUUCCAGUUCAGCUAGAAUGGGUAUCCCCAUUAUAUCUCAAGUUGUUUCAAAGCAUCACUGCGUGGUUCCUAUCUGUGCAAUUAUACAGACCGACAGUGAUCAGUGCAAGCGUGAGUGGCACCCACAAUGCUUUUUAAACAAAUGGCUAGAGGAGGUUGGAAAUGGCCAGAACAAGACGGAUUUUGUUCCCUUGGGUUGUUAUGUGUGGGGACUGCUGAAUCCUAAUUGCUAUCAAGUCAGUAUGAACUCUUGUUUCCAUGGAUAUUCUUUUCUUUAUGGUCUGGUGCUGCUUCAGUGGGAAAUUGCUUGGACACUUCAUUUGGAGUUCUCUUCUGGUGGCAACAACUCUGGCCAACCAUUCCGUCCACCAAGCACGACAUGUGCAAAAUCAACUGGAAAACAGGAAAUUAAUCAAGGAAGGAGGGGUGACAGAGCUGAUGUUGGGUACGUUUGCUGCAUCUACUACACUUGCUACUCUGAUCAAGACCCUGGUGGCCAUAACAACUACCCUGACACCUUCCAUCGGCAAGCCUCCGUUGAGCACGACUACUACCUCUGCGGCGUUGAAGUCUUCAUCAACUACGACUACCACCGUGACUACGACCAAGCCAAGCAACAUCGAGUGCAAUGGGAUCCGGGUGGUUCUCGGUGGCAUCGGCUUGGGGUCAAGCCAAAUCUCAAGGAGGGGGGGGGUGUUAGCAGCCCACCUUACCUGUAUGGGCUUGCCCCGUCUAGCUCAUGGGCCUGGCCUGGUUGA
Molecule: ribosomal RNA, 1956 nt
Filed under: Triticum aestivum (bread wheat)
Lineage: Eukaryota; Viridiplantae; Streptophyta; Magnoliopsida; Poales; Poaceae
Description: partial small subunit ribosomal RNA
Source: RNAcentral